GUCUCCUGUCGCAAAAUCCGAAAAAAAGAAAAAAAGAAAAAAAAAAGUAAAUUAGUUGAAGUUGGCUUCCGUUUGCGUCCACCCAAAAUCUCUCCUCCAAUUUGCCGGACACCCUAAAUCGCGCGCAGCACACACUCUCUCUCUCUCUCUCUCUCUCUCUCGCAGCAGCAGCAGCAGCAAAAGCAAAAGCAAAAGAUAACAGCAGAAGAAGAAGGGGCAGUCCCACUCCCACCAGGUGCCAUAUUCAUUUGUCCUUGUGAACAAACCAACACUUCGCAAAGGAUUUUACUUGCUAUGCUUCUGUCAAGAAAAACUUCUGACCCUUGUCACUGUUAGUUUGGACUGACUGUGUACCUGACUGGAGUUUCUUUCUUUCCUUCUUUUCUUUUGGGUUGGUUGUGGUGGCAGUGUUUGAAAUGUACCCUUGAAAAUCACUUCUAAUCUGUGUUCCUGAAAGAAAUUCUUAGAAUCAUGUGACCCUGAUAUUUUCUUGUUUAAGUGGAUACAUGGCUAAUCAUUCUUUAACUGUAGCUGCACCCAACACUUCUCUUGAUAUAAUUGAUCAUCCAUUAGCCAUUGGCCAAGAAUUUGCUGAUGUAGAAACUUGCCGAAGAACAUUAAAAGAUAUUGCCAUAGCACUGCAUUUUGAUCUUAGAAUAGUUAAAUCAGAUCGCAGUCGGUUUAUAGCCAAGUGCAAUAAAGAGGGUUGUCCAUGGCGUGUUCAUGUAGCCAAAUGUCCUGGAGUUCCAACCUUUACAAUUAGAACCCUACAUGGAGAGCAUACCUGUGAAGGAGUUCGCAACCAUCAUCAUCAGCAAGCAUCGGUAGGUUGGGUUGCUAGAUCUGUGGAAGCACGCAUUCGGGAUAAUCCACAAUACAAACCAAAAGAGAUCCUGCAAGAUAUCCGUGAUCAGCAUGGAGUUGCUGUUUCCUACAUGCAAGCUUGGCGUGGGAAGGAGCGUAGCAUGGCUGCACUUCAUGGAACUUUUGAGGAAGGGUAUCGCCUUCUUCCUUCAUACUGUGAGCAAAUAAGGAAAACAAACCCGGGAAGCAUUGCAACUGUUGUUGCCAUCGGACAAGAAAAUUGCUUCCAGCGCCUCUUUAUAUCUUAUCGUGCGUCAAUAUAUGGGUUUAUAAACGCUUGUAGACCACUAUUAGAACUUGAAAGAGCACAUCUUAAAGGAAAAUACUUGGGUACAGUACUUUGUGCAGCUUCUGUUGAUGCUGAUGAUGCAUUGUUUCCAUUGGCUAUUGCUAUUGUUGAUGUGGAAAGUGAUGAGAAUUGGAUGUGGUUCAUGUCAGAAUUGCGAAAACUUCUUGGUGUUAAUACUGACAACAUGCCUAGGCUUACAAUACUAUCGGAAAGACAAAGAGGCAUAGUUGAGGCUGUGGAAACUCAUUUUCCAAGUGCUUUUCAUGGUUUUUGUCUGCGUUAUGUUAGUGAAAAUUUCCGUGAUACAUUUAAAAACACAAAAUUGGUGAAUAUCUUCUGGAAUGCUGUCUAUGCACUUACAGCAGUUGAAUUUGAAAGCAAGAUUGCUGAGAUGGUAGAAGUUUCGCAAGAUGUGAUACCAUGGUUUCAACAAUUCCCUCCCCAACUUUGGGCUGUUGCAUAUUUUGAGGGUGUGCGAUAUGGCCAUUUUGUGCUGGGGGUCACAGAGUUGUUAUAUAAUUGGGCCCUUGAAUGUCAUGAACUCCCUAUUGUGCAAAUGAUGGAGCAUAUUCGCCAUCAAUUGACAUCUUGGUUUAAUGAUCGCCGAGAUAUGGGCAUGAGGUGGACCUCUAUUCUUGUACCAUCUGCUGAGAAGCGGAUUUUAGAGGCAAUUGCAGAUGCUCGUUGCUAUCAAGUACUUCGUGCAAAUGAAGUUGAGUUUGAGAUUGUGUCAACUGAGCGGACAAAUAUAGUGGAUAUACGAAGUCGUGUUUGCUCAUGUCGCCGUUGGCAGCUGUAUGGUUUACCCUGUGCACAUGCUGCUGCUGCACUUAUUUCUUGUGGGCAAAAUGCCCAUUUAUUUGCUGAGCCUUGUUUCACAGUAGCAAAUUUCCGAGAGGCCUAUUCGCAGAUGAUAAAUCCUAUUCCAGAUAAAAGCCAAUGGAGAGAACUAGGUGAGGGGGCAGAGGGUGGAAGUGCCAAGGUUGAUAUCACGAUACACCCACCGAAGACUCGCCGACCACCUGGAAGGCCCAAAAAGAAGGUUCUACGUAUAGAGAGCUUUAAGCGGCCAAAGAGAGUUGUUCAAUGUGGUCGCUGCCAUAUGUUAGGACAUUCACAAAAGAAAUGCACAAUGCCAAUUUGACCUGAGGAAUAUCAGUUUCUGUAAAAAGUUUUAUUAGGGAUGUCCCUAGUGAGAAAGGAAUAGUAACAUGAAAAAUAUCAGGUUGCAUAUGAGUGCAUAUCUUUAAAUGAGAGGCCAGCUUGGCCAAAAUGAUUUAGGACUCGUUCAAUUUGGUUGCAACAGCACUGAUGUGCUGAUACUUAAAUGGCACUUUAAUCGUUCCUCUCCUAAUUACUUUCUGCUCAUCGAAUAAAAGUUGGAUGACCUAUGGAAAAUGAUGUUUACAAUUGAGACUUCGGGUAGCAGAUGGAAAUGUAGUCAUUUUCAUUGCAUUUUGACUAGUCUCUCAUGCAUAUGUUGGUUUGUGGUCGGUAAUAUUAGCUGGCAUCAUUUACAUUAUUCAUUACCAUUACUUCGAGACUUCGAGUUGAUACUUUUGUCAGGUUUGUUAUAUUGGUUGAACAUUAGAGCUUUGUGAUACAUUUGGUAGUGUUUGGGAAUUUAUUAUUUUGCCCAUUGAUUAACAACAAUAUAAGAUAAAUUCCCCAACCCCUGAA
RNA transcript from Quercus robur (English oak), 2833 nucleotides. RefSeq lists it as uncharacterized. The record is from RefSeq and is a predicted model, not a curated record. Lineage: Eukaryota; Viridiplantae; Streptophyta; Magnoliopsida; Fagales; Fagaceae. The transcript is spliced from 6 exons.